AUUGAACGCUGGCGGCAUGCCUUACACAUGCAAGUCGAACGGCAGCACGGGUGCUUGCACCUGGUGGCGAGUGGCGAACGGGUGAGUAAUACAUCGGAACAUGUCCUGUAGUGGGGGAUAGCCCGGCGAAAGCCGGAUUAAUACCGCAUACGAUCUACGUAUGAAAGCGGGGGACCUUCGGGCCUCGCGCUAUAGGGUUGGCCGAUGGCUGAUUAGCUAGUUGGUGGGGUAAAGGCCUACCAAGGCGACGAUCAGUAGCUGGUCUGAGAGGACGACCAGCCACACUGGAACUGAGACACGGCCCAGACUCCUACGGGAGGCAGCAGUGGGGAAUUUUGGACAAUGGGCGAAAGCCUGAUCCAGCAAUGCCGCGUGUGUGAAGAAGGCCUUCGGGUUGUAAAGCACUUUUGUCCGGAAAGAAAUCCUUGGCUCUAAUACAGUCGGGGGAUGACGGUACCGGAAGAAUAAGCACCGGCUAACUACGUG
RNAcentral lists this ribosomal RNA (486 nucleotides) under uncultured bacterium. RNAcentral describes it as "partial 16S ribosomal RNA". It matches the Rfam family "Bacterial small subunit ribosomal RNA", at positions 30 to 507 of the family's 1533-position model. The record is from RNAcentral.